This 460-nucleotide ribosomal RNA is filed under the name uncultured bacterium. Its description in RNAcentral is "partial 16S ribosomal RNA". It matches the Rfam family "Bacterial small subunit ribosomal RNA", at positions 338 to 795 of the family's 1533-position model. The record is from RNAcentral.
CCUACGGGAGGCAGCAGUGAGGAAUAUUGGUCAAUGGGCGUAAGCCUGAACCAGCCAAGUCGCGUGAGGGAUGAAGGUUCUAUGGAUCGUAAACCUCUUUUAUAGGGGAAUAAAGUGUGGGACGUGUCCUAUUUUGUAUGUACCUUAUGAAUACGGAUCGGCUAACUCGGUGCCAGCAGCCGCGGUAAUCCGGAGGAUCCGAGCGUUAUCCGGAUUUUGUGGGUUUAAAGGGUGCGUAGGCGGCCUUUUAAGUCAGCGGUGAAAGUCUGUGGCUCAACCAUAGAAUUGCCGUUGAAACUGGGGAGCUUGAGUAUGUUUGAGGCAGGCGGAAUGCGUGGUGUAGCGGUGAAAUGCUUAGAUAUCACGCAGAACCCCGAUGGCGAAGGCAGCCUGCCAGGCCAUGACUGACGCUGAUGCACGAAAGCGUGGGGAUCAAACAGGAUUAGAUACCCUAGUAGUC